Molecule: ribosomal RNA, 497 nt
Filed under: uncultured bacterium
Lineage: Bacteria
Description: partial 16S ribosomal RNA
Rfam family: Bacterial small subunit ribosomal RNA
Source: RNAcentral
GAUGAACGCUGGCGGCGUGCCUAAUACAUGCAAGUCGAGCGAACAGACGAGGAGCUUGCUCCUUUGACGUUAGCGGCGGACGGGUGAGUAACACGUGGGUAACCUACCUAUAAGACUGGGAUAACUUCGGGAAACCGGAGCUAAUACCGGAUAAUAUUUCGAACCGCAUGGUUCGAUAGUGAAAGAUGGCUUUGCUAUCACUUAUAGAUGGACCUGCGCCGUAUUAGCUAGUUGGUAAGGUAACGGCUUACCAAGGCAACGAUACGUAGCCGACCUGAGAGGGUGAUCGGUCACACUGGAACUGAGACACGGUCCAGACUCCUACGGGAGGCAGCAGUAGGGAAUCUUCCGCAAAGGGCGAAAGCCUGACGGAGCAACGCCGCGUGAGUGAUGAAGGUCUUCGGAUCGUAAAACUCUGUUAUUAGGGAAGAAUAAACGUGUAAGUAACUGUGCACGUCUUGACGGUACCUAAUCAGAAAGCCACGGCUAACUACGUG